GUUUAUUAAGAAGGUGAUCGCAACAUAGCAUGAAUGAGAGUAGGUUGUCAUUGUUAAGGAUAAGCGUUCGACUAUUCAAAUUUGUCACUUGAAAUAUUUUUCUCUUCGGUGGACAAUAUUAUGAUAUACUUGUUUAUACAGUUGAAGGUUUUUUUUUAUGGAAACAUACAACCAAGCCAAGUUAGAAGGAGAAACCGUGAGGCUUGGCUUCCGCUACAAAUUCGGACUACGGUCU
This 235-nucleotide long non-coding RNA is filed under the name Setaria viridis. RNAcentral describes it as "long non-coding RNA (SVIR_LNC006074)". Lineage: Eukaryota; Viridiplantae; Streptophyta; Magnoliopsida; Poales; Poaceae. The record is from RNAcentral.